RNAcentral lists this long non-coding RNA (609 nucleotides) under Mus spicilegus (steppe mouse). RNAcentral's name for it is "lncRNA (ENSMSIG00000004603.1)". The record is from RNAcentral. Lineage: Eukaryota; Metazoa; Chordata; Mammalia; Rodentia; Muridae.
GGAGAGCAUCUUUGGGCUUUCUGGCAUCCUGUUGUCUCUUCUUCUAUCUCACAUGGGUCUGGAAUUCACACAGGUCCUGCAGCAUGCAAGGGUAGGCUGAACACACAACAUUUGAAGGCAGAUGUCAUCUCAUGGAGCAUUCGGCAAAACUCCCAGAGAGUCUGGAAGCAAAACAGGAUACGAUGAACUAAAGAUUCUCACUUAUCAAUGAUAAAGACACCUUAAAAAAGGGAAGAAGAGAAGAACCAGUUAUCUGUGGAAUUUAUGAUUCUAUAGGCAGGGGCCCUGUUUGUGGAAAACAGCCACAGAACUUCAUGGGAGAGGAACAAAAACUGGUUCUGGCUUGUGGACAACCCAAGAAUUGUCAUGGCCCAGGCGCAUCCACCGACCCUCCCAAUGGCCCCAGGAAACACGCAGGAACUGAGCAUCUCAGGCAGCAGGGAAGGGACUGCUGUGGCCUGGAGAGGUGGCAGGGAACUGACCUCUGGCUUUAUGGGUCUGUGACCCAAGGAUGUUGGCUGAGCCAUCAGGAGCUUGCAACUGGUUUUGGUGAGUCUGCAGAGUGUCAGGCCUCACAGAUGAAGUUGGGUCCAUGUGAGAUGAUUGCAC